AUUCAUUUUAAAAUAAUAACCUUUAAUCAUUUCUAAAAGCAUAUUUUACUUUGCUUUUCUGUGCAACAAUUUGAAAAAAAUUAAUGGCUAUAUCAACAUAAUGGAUGAGACAAGGUUUUAAAAUAUUGACACCCCAUCAAUUUUUUUUCACAUAAAUCAAAAAAUAGUAAGUGUAUGAAACUUCAAAUUAAAAUUAAACCAACAGAACCAAUAAGUUUUAGUUGAGUGAUACUGAUACGGUGUGUCCGCAAGUG
This 254-nucleotide unclassified non-coding RNA is filed under the name Hevea brasiliensis (rubber tree). The record is from RNAcentral. Lineage: Eukaryota; Viridiplantae; Streptophyta; Magnoliopsida; Malpighiales; Euphorbiaceae.